This 497-nucleotide ribosomal RNA is filed under the name uncultured bacterium. RNAcentral's name for it is "partial 16S ribosomal RNA". It matches the Rfam family "Bacterial small subunit ribosomal RNA", at positions 28 to 507 of the family's 1533-position model. The record is from RNAcentral.
GAUGAACGCUGGCGGCGUGCCUAAUACAUGCAAGUCGAGCGAACAGACGAGGAGCUUGCUCCUCUGACGUUAGCGGCGGACGGGUGAGUAACACGUGGAUAACCUACCUAUAAGACUGGGAUAACUUCGGGAAACCGGAGCUAAUACCGGAUAAUAUAUUGAACCGCAUGGUUCAAUAGUGAAAGACGGUUUUGCUGUCACUUAUAGAUGGAUCCGCGCCGCAUUAGCCAGUUGGUAAGGUAACGGCUUACCAAGGCAACGAUGCGUAGCCGACCUGAGAGGGUGAUCGGCCACACUGGAACUGAGACACGGUCCAGACUCCUACGGGAGGCAGCAGUAGGGAAUCUUCCGCAAUGGGCGAAAGCCUGACGGAGCAACGCCGCGUGAGUGAUGAAGGUCUUCGGAUCGUAAAACUCUGUUAUUAGGGAAGAACAAAUGUGUAAGUACCUAUGCACGUCUUGACGGUACCUAAUCAGAAAGCCACGGCUAACUACGUG